This 236-nucleotide ribosomal RNA is filed under the name Mucilaginibacter frigoritolerans. RNAcentral's name for it is "partial 16S ribosomal RNA". It matches the Rfam family "Bacterial small subunit ribosomal RNA", at positions 1 to 234 of the family's 1533-position model. The record is from RNAcentral. Lineage: Bacteria; Pseudomonadati; Bacteroidota; Sphingobacteriia; Sphingobacteriales; Sphingobacteriaceae.
UUACAAUGGAGAGUUUGAUCCUGGCUCAGGAUGAACGCUAGCGGCAGGCCUAAUACAUGCAAGUCGGACGGGAUUGAAGAGCUUGCUUUUCAUGAGAGUGGCGCACGGGUGCGUAACACGUAUGUAACCUACCCAUAUCAGGGGGAUAGCCUCUCGAAAGAGAGAUUAAGCCCGCAUAAAAUCACAGUACAGCAUUGUAUAAUGAUCAAAUAUUUAUAGGAUAUGGAUGGGCAUGC